This is a long non-coding RNA of Lycium barbarum (goji berry), 1915 nucleotides long. RefSeq lists it as uncharacterized. Lineage: Eukaryota; Viridiplantae; Streptophyta; Magnoliopsida; Solanales; Solanaceae. The record is from RefSeq and is a predicted model, not a curated record. The transcript has 2 exons.
CCCAUUUAUGCGACAUGAUUUGGUGUAUGAGGUCAAGGUAUAUAAUUUUUGGUGAACUCAGAACUAAAAUUUUCAAAAAAUUAAAAAAAAAAUACAUAUUUAAAAAUUACAUAAAAAAUACUAUAUACAAGAAAAUUUUCAAAGCAUUAAUUACAUGAGAAAUUAAAUUAUAGAAGAUAAGAGUUUCAACUCAAAGGAAAUUAUAUUUUUGUAUUUUCUCUCAAAAUAAAAGAAAAUUUCAAUAAUUUAUUUAUAACUAAGAUCUCAAAUUUUUUUUGUUAAAAGCAUCUAAAUACUUUAAAGCACUAUAUAAUUGUGGAGGAGGGUCAAAUUUUAGGUUUGUAUAUUUAUUGAUGUUUUAUUUGUAUUAUUUUUUAAAAAAAAUGAUCAUAUCAUAAAUUUAGUAAGGUUUUAAUAACCGCGCGAAGCGCGGACCAGUUUACUAGUAAAUAAAUAAACUUAAAAUUUUGACGAUCGCAUAUUCAAAUUUUGCUAAACACUUGAUAACUCAACAGAUGAAACUAUAACAUUGAAAACAAAAUCUUAUCUUUAAAUAAGUUGUAAUACGACAACAACCUUAAAUAUAAACCUUUCCUAUAUUCUCCUUAAAUUUUUCAUUGAUUUUUUUUAUAUAUGCCGUCCUUCAAAAAAAAAAAAAAUCAUCCAUUUUUCUCGUUCACUUCCAUCAUCUAAAACUCCUUCCCGAUAAGCACAAGAAAAAAAAAUUGAUAAGCACAAGAAAAAAGUUAUAAAAAGAAUGAAACUUAGAGAAAAAAAAAAAACACUUACUUAAAGAUACAUACAUGUGUGGAGACUCCAAGAUGUCUUUUUGAACUAAAAUUCAAGGUUAAACAUAAAUUUACUUCACAUUCAAGGUUAAACAUAAAUUUACUUCAUAUGUCUUGAGAUCCAUCCAUGUCUAAUAUAUAUCACGUCAAAUCAAUAAAUAUUAUAAAUCUAGGCAUAGACAAGGUGAUGCGACACUUCUCUAUAACUUCCAUUCCUAUUUAUCUUUUUUCUCCUCUUUUUGCUUUUUUUCUUUCAUUUUGUUCGUUCAACAUAUUUUAAAAACUCAAAUACUCUAUUAAAUAGGGACUUUAAAUAACCUAUAAAUGAGUGGUUUAUUUUCCCUCAUGUAACGUCUGUGUACAUAUUCCAGAUCAAUGUCAUUUAUGUGCUAUGUAAAUGGGUGCUCUAAAUAACUUCCAAAUGGAUGGUUUAUCUUCCCUACUCUAUGUAACAUGUGUGUCUGUAUUCAAAAUAUCUGUAAUGCACCACUUCUCCCUCAUACAAUAUAUAACCCACCGUGGAGAUUAAGUACCGGAACUGAUAACAUUCUAGAUUAUGCAGGAUUAUACACAAAAGAUCAUUUUUUGGCUCUCUCGUUAGCCCUAUGUCUCUUAUCCCUAUCUAUCAGUUCUCCAUCGUCAUUUUUGGAACAAUCAUAAAACCUAUAUUGUUUUCGGUUUUUGCCUAAUGAGAUAAUUUUGGAGAUGCACGUACAUGGACCAUGCAGUGACAUGCUUGCUCACGAUUUUUCCGUAGUGAAGCGAGAAUCAAAUCUGGAGAAAAUAACGGAAUUCCCUAAUAUGCUCUGACUUGACAGGAUUUGAUUUAUUCAUCCAAAUCCAGAGAAAUUCACGAGGUUUCAAAGUUUGAAGCUGGAUAGAUCUAUAAAGCAUCAAGGUCCCAAACUCUUAAUUGUAAAUUGUUAAUGUCUGCAGACUACUACAAGCUAAAAUUACUACUAUAUAUAAGGGACAAUGUAAUGAGUUUUGUAGUACUUAGUUACAUUGUAACUAUUUGGUUGGCCCAACCAAAAUGGUUUGCUCUUUCAAAUUGCCCUUGAAUUUACUAUUUAUUACUUCAUGUACCCAAGUAUGUUUCCAAUAAAUUUAGAUAUUUUCAAACUCUU